UUGACAAGCCUUUUCUUUCUGCUUCUGCCAGAGUUGUCCAACUGCCAUCGACGAGAUGUUCAACACCAAACUGCACAUUAUCGGAGGGGUGGGCAUUGGUAUCGGGAUCAUCAUGAUCUUUGGGAUGAUCUUCAGCAUGAUGCUCUGCUGUGCUAUUAAGAAGUCCCGGGACUUUGUCUGAACAAAAAAAAACCUCUGUUAAAUGUAUGUCUUCCCACACAACUGCUUAAGAGUUUAAAUCUGUUUAAUGAUCAUAACAGUCAUAUUAUAGUUUACUACCCGGAUCCAUACAGCAUGACCACUCUGCGACAGUAUGGAACCUCAUUUGUUUGCUCUUCUUCUCUUUGGGUACAAAUGUAAUUCCUUUGCCCGGGAAAUUGAAUACUUUUUAUUCUAGUACCAAUUAUAAUGAAUGUGCUACUUUUCAGUUUCACAGAGAGCUUGUCCGCACUACUUUUUAAAGACGUUGCUGCCCUCUGGAGGAUGUUGAAGAAAGAAUUUAGAAUAAUAUCGGAUCAAUUUAUGUAUAACAUUGCCUGUGGUUGGUUUGUAAUCGAACAGGCUUUUUUUUUUGUAGCUAACUGGUUUUACUUUGUAUUUUAUGUUUGCCUGAACUUACAUGAAUUUUGAUUUUUAUAAAUGCAGAACUGUGGAGUUUUAUGCAAAUAUUUUUGAUGAAUGCAGUUCCAAUGUAUCUUUAACAUGCCAAAUAAAUUAAUGAAUAACCACU
Notothenia coriiceps (black rockcod) is the source of this 730-nucleotide long non-coding RNA. RefSeq lists it as uncharacterized. The transcript is spliced from 2 exons. The record is from RefSeq and is a predicted model, not a curated record. NCBI's taxonomy places the organism in Eukaryota, Metazoa, Chordata, Actinopteri, Perciformes, Nototheniidae.